This 1252-nucleotide unclassified non-coding RNA is filed under the name Hevea brasiliensis (rubber tree). Lineage: Eukaryota; Viridiplantae; Streptophyta; Magnoliopsida; Malpighiales; Euphorbiaceae. The record is from RNAcentral.
GCGCAUCAAUAUCUCUAACAUAUUAGCCAUCCGCACAGUAGUUUCAGGAGACCGAUACAGAAAACGGCCACAUGUCUCAAGAAGAUUGCAAGCAACAUCAAUGUUAUGAUGAGUGAAAUCAUCUAAACAAGCCUUCAAACAAUUGAAGACAAGGCCAGCUGGUGCAAUUCUAAAUUUGCAGAGUUCUGCAAUAAAUCUAAUAUUUCUGAUCUUUGUUUCGAUGUUCAUUUGAUCCUUCUUAUUUAACAAGAAAUUGAACUCCUCAUCUAACAUCUGCACAAGGAUGGAAGAGACGUCCUUCAUACAAGUUGAUAGUGUGGCAACCAUUCGAGAGUAGUAUGGUAGCAGUUCUAGAGACGUUCUAGGUACAUUAAACAAUGCCUUUACAAGCUUUUUCCGGUUUGACUUUGAAUUUAAGUAACAAAACUCUACAGUCAAUUGAUCAAUAAGGUCACGACUGACACAUCCAGGAAGCCUUUGCAGUAAAGCAUCCAAGUUUGACCCUUCAAGACCUUUGGGUUUCUCCUUUUCAAUCUCUCCUUUUCUCUCUGCAUCCUUUUCUUUACCCUUCUCUUUUUCUGGAUCUUUAGCUUUUUCUUUAUCCUUUUCUUCCUUAUCCUUUCCUUUCUCAAUGCUUUUUCCCUCCUGCAAAGUACCAGAGUCUGCAGAGGACUCUGCAUUAUCUAGACUAGGUUGGCCUUGGUCUGAUUCAGGUGCCACCUCACUUGGUUGCUCUUGAAUCCUUGCAGAUUGUUCAUUCGCUUUCGGCUCUGCUUCUCCCAACAAUACUGCUGGAACAAAUGCUCUGAGAUCUGGUAAGCAUUCAUAAAAUGCUCUAGUAUCUUCAUCAUCCCACAAAGCUUCAAGAACAGAAGAAUCUUUGCCGGCAGCAGGUGAUGAAGAAUCAUCUCCAGUAGUAACCCUAGUAGUGUGGCCAUCUUCUGGCAUCACUGGAGGUUGCAUGUCAAGGGCUUCAGCCAAAGAAGAAACAUUGCGAUAUAAAUGCUCAUAAGAUUUUCGAAGCUUUUCAUAUGAUGCAACAUUUUCAUCAGUAAGCUCUCCUUUAGCAUUCAAAAUCUUCGCAUUUUCAUGUUCCAUUUGGCGGAGAGACGCGUGCUCAGACUGAAGUAGUUCUGAUACAGCAUCGAAAUACGUACUAAAGGCUUUCUUGAAUAUUUUCUUCUGAUCUGCUGUGAUAUUAAGGCCCUUGAAAAACUCUUCAUGAAUUUCUUGUCCAGACAGAGGCAGUCCU